AAUCAACUGCUGCCUCUCCUGGAGUAUAGAUCACAAUCUAUACCUAUACCCGCAAUCUCAGCUAUUGCACCCUGAACUCAGCGACCCAACCACCUCGUACUUAACAUUUGCAAACCCAAAAAAAAAUUACCUUAGCCCUAAUAAAUUCUCUGACCACGACCACCCGCCGUGGAUCCACUCAUCCUUUCUUAAGCACAUACUGUCACACCCCAAGACCAUGAACGGCGGAAACGUUCUGGGGCGGAGGACGUCAUGUACAGUAUCACAACAAUGAAUAGUAGUAAACAAGAAACAACAUCAUCCAUUGCAUUAAUAGUAUAAUUUUAAUACAAAUGCGUUCUGUCAAAUUAUAUAGACACCAAAAUAUAAAUCAAAAUGAAANNNNNNNNNNNNNNNNNNNNNNNNNNNNNNNNNNNNNNNNNNNNNNNNNNNNNNNNNNNNNNNNNNNNNNNNNNNNNNNNNNNNNNNNNNNNNNNNNNNNUUGAUAUAAUAACUAGCAUGAUUCAACUUGUAUCCCCCCGAUAAAAACAUUUAAAAACAAGUCAAAGGUUAAUUAAAGGGGUAUGAACUCACCUGUAGUGAGUUGUUUGGAUGAACGUGCCGGAUAAGAUGCUAAGUGCCAAGUGGAGACUUGAGCACACACGCGAAUCCUAUUUAACAUAUGUUGAUACAUAUAUGAAUAUAAUUAGUGUUUAAAACAACUAAUUAUUGAAUUGGGACCACCUUAGGGACUAGUAAACACUUAUAUUGAAGUGUUACAACCAUAUAUGAUUGUAUGAAGGGGUAUAUGGCUAUACAAGGGAGUGUAUGGUCAAAAUACACACUAUAUGUGUGUGCGGCCAGGGUGUGUGUGCGGUUGGGUGUGCGGCCGUACUUGGUGUGUGCGGUCGUACACAUAGUGUUCUUGGUGUUCUUGACUAAAGAUGUUACCUUCUAUGAAGAUCAACAAGGAGAUUUGGAUGAUACUUGAGAGGAUUUCGGGUCCUAGCUUUGAAGAAGUGUAAAAAGUGUUCAAAAUGACCAAGUGUAGUAUAUAUAGGAGGGAGUGUGCGGCUGGAUGGGUGUGCGGCCGAACACACCUAUUUUGGUGUGUUUGGCCAGUUUUUGCGAUGCUACACACAUUCUCACCCAUCAUACGACUCAUAUCUUGAUUAUACUAAGCCUUAAGCACUCAUAAUGAUCCAAAACUUCAUUAUAAAAUAGCAAAACGAGGUUAAAUUUGAUAAAAAUGAAGGAUGUAAGCUAGAAAUUUCAGGUUGUCACAUCAUCCCCCUGUUAGAGGGAAUUUCAUCCCGAAAUUAGAAUUUAGGUAAGGAAGUAGGCAUGAAUAAUUGAAUCAAGAAGUGGGGAUACUUCGUAAUCGGUUGAUUCUCGUGCUCCCAAGUGCAUGCAGGUCCUCGGUUGGCAUUCCGGCGAACCUUCACUAAUGGGAAACGGAUAUGAAUCGUUCGCAUGACCUCUCGGUCCAUGGUCACUACGGUUCUUCCACGAAUUUGAGGCUCUUGUAGAACUCGAUCUCUUCGAGUGGGAUUUCAAGAGUCUCAUCGGAUAGAUACUUUUAAAAGUUUGAGACGUGGAGGGUAGAAUGUACGUUACCAAACUCGCGGGGUAGAUUGAGUUUGUGAGAUACAGGGCCGAAUGUGGCAAAAAUCUCGGAGGUGCUAACUAUCUUGAAUUUAGAUUUCCACGCCUUACGAAGUGUAUUAAGCCUUCCCAGUGUGAGACUUCCAAAAGAAUUUGGUCUCUCACCUGGAGUUCCAAGGGUUUCCCCCUCUUGCUUCUCUUCCCAAUCAAGGGUCGCUCCCUUCCGAGUCAAAUUCGUAAGGGGUUCCGUAAUUUGCGAGGAUUUCUAAAUGAACUACGGCUGUAGGUCUGCGAGACCUAAAACUUGGCAAAUUUCCGACGGUGUCCUUGGUGCUGACAAAUUCUCAACGGUUUCAUAAAUUGAAAGGGUCCUCAAGAAUUUCAACAUCACUAAUCGUGUAUCUUAGGAAUUUGACUCUUCAAUUCCAAAACUUGUAUUUUGAGAACUUCGCGCAACGCUUCUCUGAUCGUAUUGGUUCCAUGGUUUGUUGUAGAUGCUCUUCCUGAUUUCCUUCUUACUACGAGAGUAGAUAAGUAAGUCAUUUACAAGAUUAAUGACGAACUGAUCCAAGUAAGAAUGGCGUAUCCUAUUCAUUAAGUUCAUGAAUACUACGGGCGUAUUGGUACUAUCCGAGGGGUAUCACUAUGGACUCGUAGUGUCCGUAUCGAGUUCGGAAGGUCGUCUUCGGGACAUCCUUCGCUAACACUCGAAACUGGUGAUAUUCGGAUCUCAGGUCCAUUUCUGAAAGGUAAUUUCGUUUCCUUGCGUUUGCUAAACCAAAUCAUCUAUGCGAAGCAGAGGUAAUGAUUUACAAAAGAAAUCUUGACGAGGUUUCCGAUAGUCGAUGUACUCAUGAUACUAUUCGUCCACCUUUUUGAAGAAUAAGACCAGAGCUCUCCAGGGCGAGGAGCUUGGUCUUACUAUUCUUUUGCCAAGUAGUUCGUUAAGUUGUCCAGACUGUUCCUGCAUCUCUGUAGGUGUUUAGACUGUAGGGAGAUCUGGUUUGCAGGAGUCGUACUGGGUUAUAAGUUUGUUCACAUGACGAUGUGAUUACUCAUAGUUUUGGGCAGUCUCCGUCCUGAAGUUCAUAUUAUAAUUCAUACAUGGUUCACCGAUCACAGUCUCGUGUAUACGAGUCAUAUAUAAUUAAGAUUGAAAAGGUAGUCGAAUAAAUGAUUCUUCUUUAAGGUCACAUCCCAAUGAGGAAAAGAAGUUAAAGGGGAAUCAUUAAUUAUAAACCUGUAGAACCUUGAUUAUAUACCACCCUUGUGUAUACAUUAUUCAUCGAUAGAUUAACCAUAAGAGUCCUUGUAUUGAACUUGGCAUACUGUACGAGUGGUACAUCGGGAAGGUUUGCUGAGGCUUCCUUGGAAAGGAUAAGAAACAUGAGGUACUCUACGCAUGAGUACUUUGGAGUUCUGAAAUGACGACUUCGCUAGAAAGACGUUUACUGAGAAAGAGAUGUACGCACGAAACUGGUAUUGUGAGAAUCGAAUUGAUCAUAAGGGCGUUACAGACAAAAUCCUACAGUGCAACUUUUAACAAAGUUACAAUACUAUAGAUUCACUACAAAACUAUUGCUGUGAACUAGGUAUACUACAAAAGACAAGUAUACACAGCACGAGCACCCCUUUAAUGAUGGGAUCUCGCAAAAGAUAAGACUCAAGUUGCACUAGUUUUAAACGGUUUUAAGGGUCUGUUACAACGAACGCCUUAGAUACUCUAACGAGGAUCCGACGUAGUCUCUCCUGAAGCUGUAAUCCUUAGUAUCCUUCCGUUUGCGCCAGAGUUCUUCGUUAUCAGGCAAUCCUUCUCGGGAUUUCCUAUCUCACCACAUUGGUGACAUAUCUGGCUAGCACCAAUAUUGGUGGUAGGAGUGAUGUGUCGAUUCAGAGUUACGUGGACACGAGUGCCCUCCUCGUUCAUCCACUUUGAAAAUUUCCUUUUAUAGGGUCUAGUUUUACUACCAUCAUCGCAAGCCUGGUUGACUCCGAUGUCAGGGGCUUGAGUGAUGGGUCGUGCCGGUGCUCCACAGCUACGAGGAUGGUGCCCUAAUUUUAGGCAAUUGCAACAUUGCAUUUCAUGGCAAGCCCCAUGAUGAUGAAAACUACACUUAUCACACUUCGGAAGUUUUCCCUCGUAUGGCCUGCUCGUUACUGGGAUGGCAGGGGUUUCCACUUGUUGUUGUUGCAUGGCAAGUCUUUGGGAUCGCUUGCGUUCCUUCUGGGCUUGGCGCUUUCGUUUCUUGUUCUCUGUUUUUCGGUUUUGCGAGUCUGCAACUGUUAUCAUUUGACGGUUUCCUGGAUUGAUACUACGAUCUGGAUUGUCAACCCCUUUGUCAGCAAUGCUUGCGUUAAUAGCGCUGCGGUUUGCAAGGACAGCUGUCACGGCAGCCAUCACGGCAACUGUAACUAUGGCUUGGAAAGUAGCGGUGUCCAUAGGAAAGGCAAGGGUUUUGUUGUUCGUCUGAAGGUUUCUGGAUGAUGACAUGAUUCUGUAACACGAAAGACAAGGAGUUCGUGAGUGACUAAGGUUGACCCUAGAUCUAAGAGAUGAGUUAUUAUACACGGAAACUUAGCUUAUACAUAUUAUGAUAUAAUCAAGACUUGGCUGAUAGUAAAAUGUGUGAUUCUACUUUAGUUUCACAUCCCAACGAGGAAAAGAAACUAAGUUAGAAAUCUCACAUUCUAUUGUCUAUCAGGUCUUCGUUAUAUAUAACUUAGGAAUGUAUAAGCAAGGAAAUCAAUAUAAUAACCUUCUCACUAAUCCUUCUAUAUGAAUUAGAAUUUCUAGAAAAGGCUAUAAUUGAACCUAGAUGUAUUUCGAUCGAUCACCUAAAGAGUAGAAGUAAGUUCGUAGAAUGGUAUCAAGACGCUUGACGUCUAAAACAGGGUACCAUCGGUAGGAAAAUAUCAUGAUCCAACCCUUGAAAAAGAAUUGGGAAUGAUCCCUGAGCUAGAAUACCCUAGUUUAAUAACUCGACUAGAGUGGGUUUCAGAUAGACUCCCAUGAUAGCAUGAUGAAAGUAUUUGAAUAAAGAAUGACACAGAAGUUAGCCGUCUGUCAAUAUCUUUGAUAUUCAUGACGCAAAAGUUCGAGAAAAAUUGACCUUGCAGCAGGUCUUACAUCAUAUCCAGAGUAGAAAGGUUUUGGCCGUAUAAAGGCCUGACUAAAAGUACCUACAGUACAAGAUAGUUUUGUAGAAAAAUGCUGCAUGGGACAUAGAUAUAAAGAACGGUUCCUUAUAACAGGGAAAGAAAGUAAGGCAUCUACUACUGGUGAUGGCCAUCCCUCUGGUGAACUCUUAGUUCAGCUAGUUGACGUUCCACAUCAAGCAAGUGUCUUUCGUACACCCUAUGGCGUACUUGGAGUUCUAUGACUUCGGCUCGUGAUUCAGCCAGUGCUUGAAGCAGGGUUUCAUGGUCUCUCUCAGAUCUCUCACGAGCAUCUUCCAGGAGAAUGGUACGGAGGGUGUGCAUUCUCACAUUGGUGACAACUUCUGUGAUCUGAUGUAGGGCUGUCCUGCCUUGAAUCUCAUUUCGGGCCACUCUGCGGACCAGGAUUGGCAAGACUCUAUCUGCUGAGCCCCCUUCGCUCAGGUCAUAAAACCUUCGGUCUCCAUUAAAUGACAUGGGCUAAUCCUGCCCUUGGCUCCAUGUUUCCAAGCUUUCCACCCACGGAGGUGUCGGGCCUUGAAAAGCCGGACGAGGGUUAGGAUUUCGAACAAGAGCUAUCGGGGGUAGGUUCUCUACUUCAGGCUCAGAGUCAGAACCAUCUCCCAAGCCUUCAUCCUGGUGACCAUCCACAUGGAUUAGGUGGUCAUUUCCAGGAUCAGCUUCAAACCCGCCUUCAUUGCCUUGGUUAGGGAAGUACAAGUUGCCGUAGGGAUGGAACCCAGCCAUAAUAUCUAUGCGAGAAAAAGGGAUAUAAGAAUCUAGUACAAAAUCUAGCACAUAAGCAGCUUGCAGUAAUACACAAAAUACUCCUACAGUAUUUUAGGUUUAUGUUCUAUCGUUCUCAUUGUGGUAUUGUUGGUAAGAUUUUAGACUUGUUGCAACCUCACAACCACCCUUAGGCACAUGCUAGUCACUCAUCGGAUAAUAUAGUUGAUCAGGCUAUAUCUUCCCAAAAUUGACAAUAUGUCUCUAAGUCUACUUGUGGUGUCCAACAAUCGUAAUUCUUUUGUACUGUCCUAGUGACACUGAUUUUAGUAUGAAUGUAGACAUGUAUACUUAUUUUAAAUAUUUUAUUAUUUAAAGUAUAAACUCUUGGUCAGAGUAUUUUAAUCCCAUUGUAUUUAUAGUCUGUAUAUCUUUUAUGGGUUGAUAUACUCAAUUCACUAUAAACAAUGCUCUGAUACCAAUCUGUCACACCCCAAAACCAUGAACGGCGGAAACGUUCUGGGGCGGAGGACGUUAUGUACAGUAUUACAACAAUGAAUAGUAGUAAACAAGAAACAACAUCUUCCAUUUCAUUAAUAGUAUAAUUUUAAUACAAAUGUGUUCUGUCAAAUUAUAUAGACACCAAAAUAUAAAUCGAAAUGAAAGAUGAGUCUUCAAUGUGCUCCAUCUUCUCUAAACCUUGCAUCUGUACCUGUCUACUGGUGACCUGAGGAUACAAGUUAUUUUGGAAGAGAGUAUCAGCUUUAAAGCUGGUGAGAUCAUAAGUAUUUUAGUGUCUGAAUUUGUAAGAAUGUAUUGGUAAGAAUGUAUUUGUAAGAAUGUAUUUGUAAGCAUGUGAAGUAUAAGUAUGUAAAAGUUCUGAACCUCCUAGAAAUCCCUAUGUUUCCUACUAAAAGUAGUCUUCUACCAAGGCAUCUAGUAUCUGACUAUGUCUCUUGUAAGAGUGUGUAUUUUUCCAAAUCUGACUAUCAUUAACCAAGAAUAUAGUUCCUACAUUUCCGUGCAUCGUGUGAAUAUUCACGAAGUGAAUGUAAUGGGAAAAUUAAAUAGUACUGUAGUGUUAUAAUAAGUGACUACUGCUGUACUAACUACCUUAAACCAAAUGUAAUUUAAAGUACCAUGUGAUCGGCCUNAGGCACCCGUAGACUUGCAAGUCCCACUGUAGCGAGCAGCAAGGUGUAGGAUAGUCAAUCCAGUAUAGAUCUAUACACAAACUCAUACGCUCCCCAAUUAAGGAGAUUAUGGAUACAAAAACAGUCAUCGCAGGUAGUGCCAUGCCCCG
RNAcentral lists this long non-coding RNA (6769 nucleotides) under Lactuca sativa (garden lettuce). Its description in RNAcentral is "long non-coding RNA (LSAT_LNC004465)". The record is from RNAcentral. Lineage: Eukaryota; Viridiplantae; Streptophyta; Magnoliopsida; Asterales; Asteraceae.